GAGGGUACAGCUCAAGUGGUAGAGCCCAUGCUUAGCAUGCAUGAGGUCCUGGGUUCAAUCCCCAGUACCUCCA
RNAcentral lists this transfer RNA (73 nucleotides) under Vicugna pacos (alpaca). It matches the Rfam family "tRNA". Rfam says of the family: Transfer RNA (tRNA) molecules are approximately 80 nucleotides in length. Their secondary structure includes four short double-helical elements and three loops (D, anti-codon, and T loops). Further hydrogen bonds mediate the characteristic L-shaped molecular structure. tRNAs have two regions of fundamental functional importance: the anti-codon, which is responsible for specific mRNA codon recognition, and the 3' end, to which the tRNAs corresponding amino acid is attached (by aminoacyl-tRNA synthetases). tRNAs cope with the degeneracy of the genetic code in two manners: having more than one tRNA (with a specific anti-codon) for a particular amino acid; and 'wobble' base-pairing, i.e. permitting non-standard base-pairing at the 3rd anti-codon position. The record is from Rfam by way of RNAcentral. RNAcentral also lists the same sequence under 1 other name. Lineage: Eukaryota; Metazoa; Chordata; Mammalia; Artiodactyla; Camelidae.